GGUUCCCGGUUGAUGUUGGUCAAGCAAGAUGCGACACUGUGGUCAACGCACCGGGUUCCCGUCGCAUCUUCUCCCACAGAUGCAGAAAGAUGAUGAUGACGCGAUGUAAAACAACUGACUUUUCGAAUUUACUCAAGAAAAUAGAAAAUAUGAUAAUUCAAGAUAAGAAACUAAGACGGGAUGAAGAACUGAUAAUUGCUAAACCAGAGUUUGACAGGAACCAGCUGCAAUGUGAUAUAGGAAGUCAUCUCCACAAUGAAAAGGGAAUCGACCGCUCUUCAAAGAUGUCAUUCAGCUUAUAACAACAAAGAGAAGAGAUGAUCAUCUAAAGGAUGAUCCUGUAUUUGAUUUCCGAUUCUAUUUCUCGGGUAUAAUUUGGGAUUAACAUAUUUGAUUUCUUUUCGAUCUCUAAUUCAAACCUACACUCACAUCUUGGACUCCUCUUUUAAGAGGAGUCCAACAAAUCUACGAAAGAUUUUGACAG
This 484-nucleotide long non-coding RNA is filed under the name Androctonus crassicauda. The record is from RNAcentral. Lineage: Eukaryota; Metazoa; Arthropoda; Arachnida; Scorpiones; Buthidae.